RNAcentral lists this ribosomal RNA (550 nucleotides) under uncultured bacterium. RNAcentral describes it as "bacterial SSU rRNA". It matches the Rfam family "Bacterial small subunit ribosomal RNA", at positions 355 to 896 of the family's 1533-position model. The record is from RNAcentral.
UGGGGAAUCUUCCGCAAUGGACGAAAGUCUGACGGAGCAACGCCGCGUGAGUGAUGACGGCCUUCGGGUCGUAAGGCUCUGUUAAUCGGGACGAAAGGCCUUCUUGCGAACAGUUAGAAGGAUUGACGGUACCGGAAUAGAAAGCCACGGCUAACUACGUGCCAGCAGCCGCGGUAAUACGUAGGUGGCAAGCGUUGUCCGGAAUUAUUGGGCGUAAAGCGCGCGCAGGCGGAUCAGUCAGUCUGUCUUAAAAGUUCGGGGCUUAACCCCGUGAUGGGAUGGAAACUGCUGAUCUAGAGUAUCGGAGAGGAAAGUGGAAUUCCUAGUGUAGCGGUGAAAUGCGUAGAUAUUAGGAAGAACACCAGUGGCGAAGGCGACUUUCUGGACGAAAACUGACGCUGAGGCGCGAAAGCCAGGGGAGCGAACGGGAUUAGAUACCCCGGUAGUCCUGGCCGUAAACGAUGGGUACUAGGUGUAGGAGGUAUCGACCCCUUCUGUGCCGGAGUUAACGCAAUAAGUACCCCGCCUGGGGAGUACGACCGCAAGGUUG